UGCCGAGCCCUCAAAACGUUGGAACAAAAUCUUUGUUGUAUAGAGUUUUCAUUCCACCAGAAAGACUUUGAAUGAGCUCACAAGUAAAUAGUGUGGUGAGCUGUAAAAUAAUACGCGGUAUGGAAGAAAAUAGAACAGGAUGAAAGAGGGGAGGGGACAUGCUGUAGCUUUUAAAUAGAAAAUUAGAGUAGGCUUCGUUGAAAAGUUACAUUGAGCAAAGAUUUGAAGGCGAUAAUGAGGUAAACUGCAGUUAUCUGCAGAGGGAAGAGAUGCUAAUCUGAGAAAAACUCCAGCAACCAUACAGCUCCAAAGCCCCUAGAAAGCCUGGCAUGUUUGGGAAACACUAAUGGCCAGGGGUCAGAUGAGAAAGGAGAGUAAGGGGGGAAGGGGUUAGGAAUAACACAUUGUGUAGGGUUUUGUAAGGACUUUGGUUUUUAUUAUAUGUGACAUGCAGAUCUCUUGGAGGAUUUGAGAAAAGGAAUAACAUGACCUGACUUAAAUUUUAAAAGCAUCACUCAGACUCCUUUUGAGAACAGACUUUAGGGGAAGGAAAGUAAAAGGAGGGGAGAAAUGGCAGUGUCUUGAACUAGGGUGGUUCUAGUGGAGGUGGUGAGAAGUGAUCAGAUUCUUUUGAAAAUUUUUGAAUUGAAUGAAAGGCAUGAGAGGAAGAGAAGAGUCAAGGAUGAUUCCAAGGCUUUUGAACUGAACGACUGGAAGGAUGGAAUUGCCAUCAGUUGAGCUGGGACUAUUGGCCUGUCUUGCAUUUUGAAUGGAUCUUUUACCCACAGAAACUUGGAGGUUUGCAGUAUAGAGGAAAUGGAGGCAAAGAAGAAGAGAAAAGGCAACAACAGGAGAAAAAGCCAGUAAAGGAAACUGGAGAGAAGAAUGAAAAUUUGAAAGAGAAAGGCAAAGGACAUCCUCUGUGCCCGACAGUAUGAUGAAACACCUGGGUUUGACCCAUCCCUCCACAAUCUGCAUGCACAGGCCACUAUAAAAAUGAAGCACCAGAGUGGAGGUCAGUAGUACUCUACUGAGUUGAGAUAAACUAACAUGGAACCCCAAAGGCCAGGCCGUGGAAUGUCAUCUCUGAACAUC
Long non-coding RNA from Hipposideros armiger (great roundleaf bat), 1095 nucleotides. RefSeq lists it as uncharacterized. The transcript has 3 exons. The record is from RefSeq and is a predicted model, not a curated record. NCBI's taxonomy places the organism in Eukaryota, Metazoa, Chordata, Mammalia, Chiroptera, Hipposideridae.